Molecule: ribosomal RNA, 491 nt
Filed under: uncultured bacterium
Lineage: Bacteria
Description: partial 16S ribosomal RNA
Rfam family: Bacterial small subunit ribosomal RNA
Source: RNAcentral
GUGAACGCUGGCGGUAGGCCUAACACAUGCAAGUCGAACGGCAGCACAGUAAGAGCUUGCUCUUACGGGUGGCGAGUGGCGGACGGGUGAGGAAUACAUCGGAAUCUACUUUUUCGUGGGGGAUAACGUAGGGAAACUUACGCUAAUACCGCAUACGACCUACGGGUGAAAGCAGGGGAUCUUCGGACCUUGCGCGAUUGAAUGAGCCGAUGUCGGAUUAGCUAGUUGGCGGGGUAAAGGCCCACCAAGGCGACGAUCCGUAGCUGGUCUGAGAGGAUGAUCAGCCACACUAGAACUGAGACACGGUCCAGACUCCUACGGGAGGCAGCAGUGGGGAAUAUUGGACAAAGGGCGCAAGCCUGAUCCAGCCAUACCACGUGGGUGAAGAAGGCCUUCGGGUUGUAAAGCCCUUUUGUUGGGAAAGAAAAGCAGCAGGUUAAUACCCCGCUGUUCUGACGGUACCCAAAGAAUAAGCACCGGCUAACUUCGUG